Peromyscus eremicus (cactus mouse) is the source of this 1318-nucleotide long non-coding RNA. RefSeq lists it as uncharacterized. NCBI's taxonomy places the organism in Eukaryota, Metazoa, Chordata, Mammalia, Rodentia, Cricetidae. The transcript is spliced from 3 exons. The record is from RefSeq and is a predicted model, not a curated record.
AGCAAUGCUGUGCAGAAACAGAAGGGCAAGAAUCAUAUACUCAGCCGAAAAGAGUGAAAUUGUCAUUUUUCAGGGGAAAAACGCAUGGACCUGGAAAUCAUGGUGUUGUGUAUAACAGGCCAGUCCCACAAUGACAUUUGUUUUCAAGUCUUGGAUCUCAGUUUGGGGAGGGGACCUGAUAGUAAAAGGGGAUAUUAGGGAUGUGAAGGGUAAAGAGGAGGGGGGUAAGUAUGUAAAGUAGGUGAAUAUUAUCAAACAUUAUGUGCAUAUACAGAAAUGUUAUAGUGAAUAUUUUUUACUUUUUAUGCUAAAUAUUUACUAACAAAAUCUUUAUAAAGUAAAAAGAGACAAAGAAAAUGAGUAGUUAGAAAAAAAAUGGAAGAUAGUUAACAAAGAAAAUUUAAAAUAUGUAAAAACUAACUUCUAAAACCAGAAACAUAAAAUACAAGAAAUAAAAGGAAAAAUGAAAACCAAUACCCCCAAAGCACAACCAGCAAAGUGAGAGAAAAACUCACUCUGUCAAGUACAAGAAGUCACCAGCAUCCGAGUCCAAAACUUCACCGAUAUCCAGGUCCAAAACUUUUACCAACAUCCAAGUCCCACAGAUCACCACCUAACAGCUCUCUGUACUAGAAGGACAAAACCCAGCCCUAGGCAGUGUGUUAUAUGCACAGGUGUCAGUCAUUCCUCACAGUGGCUCCUUGUGAGGUCAGAGCAAGCCAUGGACCAAUGAGGGAUGGGCACACUCCUGUCAAAGGCCUGUGUUAGCUACUCUGCAGUCACUGCUACCAAGUGCCCCACAGAAAGUAACAUAAGGAAGGUUUGUUUGGGCUCACAUUCUGUGAGAACAUGGAAAGCAUGGUGGCAAGAGUAGUUGGUGUUAGCAUGUGGCUGCUUACACUGUACUGGUGGUCACUCCACCUCCAAUACCAGGCUAACAAACUGCUUCCUGGAGCUAGACCCCACCUGCUAAAGCUAGACCACAACUUCCCAAGACAGCAUUACCUGCUGGAGAGCAUGAGUUCAAACACAGAAGUGUCUACAUGGGACAUUUCACAAGCAAACCCUAGGAAGGACUGGCUCCACUUUAACAGUAGUAACAACAGAAAUGAAAUGAAAAUCCAACAUGGAUUUGGAGGGACACGUGUUCUAACAUGAUAACCCACAAACUAGAGCUGGUCAUCAGUAGACGUGACCUGCCUGAGGGAUGAAGAGAAAGUGAAGAUGAAAGACAUGAAUGUUUCACCUCAGAAAAUAGCACAUUAUCCCAAGAAUUAAUAAUACACUUAGCAAUUAAAAACAAUGUUGUGAGAAAUCA